Molecule: unclassified non-coding RNA, 324 nt
Filed under: soil metagenome
Description: partial contains 5.8S ribosomal RNA, internal transcribed spacer 2, and large subunit ribosomal RNA
Rfam family: 5.8S ribosomal RNA (bases 1-120)
Source: RNAcentral
GAUGAAGAACGCAGCGAAAUGCGAUAAGUAAUGCGAAUUGCAGAAUUCAGUGAGUCAUCGAAUCUUUGAACGCACAUUGCGCCCUGUGGUAUUCCGCAGGGCAUGCCUGUUCGAGCGUCAUUUCAACCCUCAAGCUCUGCUUGGUGUUGGGCCCUGCCCGCUGCGGCCGGCCCUAAAGACAGUGGCGGUGCCGCCUGGCCCUGAGCGUAGUACAUCUCUCGCUCCAGUGCCCGGUGGUAGCCUGCCAGAACCCCAACUCUCGUGGUUGACCUCGGAUCAGGUAGGGAUACCCGCUGAACUUAAGCAUAUCAAUAAGCGGAGGGA